GGGUCAGAUCUCAGACUAUUCAUCAAUGGCCAGCGACCCUGGUGCAGCCUGUGGGCAGCCCGCUCUCUCUGGAGUGCACUGUGGAGGGAACAUCAAACCCCAACCUAUACUGGUACCGACAGGCUGCAGGCAGGGGCCUCCAGCUGCUCUUCUACUCCGUUGGUAUUGGCCAGAUCAGCUCUGAGGUGCCCCAGAAUCUCUCAGCCUCCAGACCCCAGGACCGGCAGUUCAUCCUGAGUUCUAAGAAGCUCCUUCUCAGUGACUCUGGCUUCUAUCUCUGUGCCUGGAGUGUCACACUGAGCUGGGUGG
RNAcentral lists this long non-coding RNA (309 nucleotides) under Homo sapiens (human). Its description in RNAcentral is "non-protein coding lnc-TRPV6-3:1". Lineage: Eukaryota; Metazoa; Chordata; Mammalia; Primates; Hominidae. The record is from RNAcentral.